UACGGAGGGUGCAAGCGUUAUCCGGAUUUACUGGGGUUAAAGGGUGCGCAGGCGGAUAUGUAAGUCAGUGGUGAAAUCUCUGGGCUUAACCCGGAAAUUGCCAUUGAUACUAUAUAUCUUGAAUGCUGUGGAGGUAAGCGGAAUAUGUCAUGUAGCGGUGAAAUGCUUAGAUAUGACAUAGAACACCUAUUGCGAAGGCAGCUUACUACGCAGAUAUUGACGCUCAUGCACGAAAGCGUGGGGAUCAAACAGG
This 253-nucleotide ribosomal RNA is filed under the name uncultured bacterium. Its description in RNAcentral is "partial 16S ribosomal RNA". It matches the Rfam family "Bacterial small subunit ribosomal RNA", at positions 524 to 776 of the family's 1533-position model. The record is from RNAcentral.